Myotis davidii is the source of this 75-nucleotide non-coding RNA. NCBI's taxonomy places the organism in Eukaryota, Metazoa, Chordata, Mammalia, Chiroptera, Vespertilionidae. The record is from Rfam.
GACGGUUCACAGGUGACUCACCCUGGAAUUGGUCUCCCUCCUCUCUGGCUCCGCGUGAGUCACCUGAGAACCACA